This 77-nucleotide transfer RNA is filed under the name Rhodococcus rhodnii. RNAcentral describes it as "tRNA-Leu". It matches the Rfam family "tRNA". From Rfam's summary of the family: Transfer RNA (tRNA) molecules are approximately 80 nucleotides in length. Their secondary structure includes four short double-helical elements and three loops (D, anti-codon, and T loops). Lineage: Bacteria; Bacillati; Actinomycetota; Actinomycetes; Mycobacteriales; Nocardiaceae. RNAcentral also lists the same sequence under 2 other names. The record is from RNAcentral.
GCCCUCGUAUCCCAAUUGGCAGAGGAAACGGAUUCAAAACCCGUCCAGUGUGAGUUCGAGUCUCACCGAGGGCACCC